AGUCAAUAAGUUUUAGUAAACUUAUAUUUUGAAAGUAUAAAUUGAAAGUUAAAUUCUUUCAUUGACUU
RNAcentral lists this transfer RNA (68 nucleotides) under Eysarcoris guttigerus. RNAcentral's name for it is "tRNA-Ser". It matches the Rfam family "tRNA". From Rfam's summary of the family: Transfer RNA (tRNA) molecules are approximately 80 nucleotides in length. Their secondary structure includes four short double-helical elements and three loops (D, anti-codon, and T loops). Lineage: Eukaryota; Metazoa; Arthropoda; Insecta; Hemiptera; Pentatomidae. The record is from RNAcentral.